RNAcentral lists this ribosomal RNA (1324 nucleotides) under Triticum aestivum (bread wheat). RNAcentral describes it as "partial small subunit ribosomal RNA". Lineage: Eukaryota; Viridiplantae; Streptophyta; Magnoliopsida; Poales; Poaceae. The record is from RNAcentral.
GGCCACGCAAGCGAGGAAGUCCAGUCAAUCGAAAUGAUAAGGAGAGAGAAAGGGGAAGAAAUCCCCAGCAACUCGAUCCCCAGUCCUCACAAGACUGAAACAGGCAGAGACUCCCACGGCUGGCUGGCCGGCCGGCCGCAUUACCGGCGGCGAGAAGAACUCCCGCCGCGCUCGUUCUCGGAGGAGGAGUCACCACGGGGGUGGGUUCCGAGCGCGACGCCGUUCGAGAGCCCGAGCGCCGCAGGGCUCCAUGAGCCGUCACCGGCCAUGGCCGUUGGACGACGGAACAGCAGACGCGGGUGGGCGCGCAGGGGCCGAGCGCUGGAAGCCAGGUCGACACCGCUGCGUAGCCGCGUCAUGGCGCACGCUAGCCAACGCGUCUGGGCUUCCUUGCCGUCGCUGCGCAUAGCUGCCCCAAGGGACAUGCCUGCGGGAAGUGCCGCCGCCGCGGCGAAGCGCGUCUCCACGCGCCGGAUGCCGGGAGCCGCGGGUGCGGGCGCCGCUUGUCUGUGAAGGGUGGCUGUCUCGGUCGCUUCUAGGCCGGGAGCCGACGAGGCCGGCGGCACGCUGAGCGGUGGCAGGCGUGGUCGCGUGCACCGCAUGCGUUGAAGCCUUGGUUGCCCAGGACCGUCCCGUUGUGCUAAUGCCAUAAAAAGCCUGGUUCCUCGUUUCGUCCCAGAUCGAGAGACUCGCCGCGCCUGCCUCGUGAACGCGUCGGGCUGGUGCGUGAGGUUGAGGCCACGCGGUCACGUACCGGCAGGAGACCUGCGCCGCCUUGCCGCUUUGCAGAGGCGUGGACUGCCACCGGUUCGGUGUUGCUCGCGGGCAAGCCCGUCGUGAGAUCGCUCCGCUGGAGAGCGACGGGGCUGGCCUUCUGGACGUCGCCGGCCUUGGUCUUCCGCGUCGCGCUGUGAGGCCGAUGGAAUGGCUCCGCCGGGAGCAAGCGAGAGACAAUCGAAUAAAUGAUAGAACUAUCAAUUCCAUUGAAUGAUUCUUGGUAUAUAUACAAGGGGCACAGACACGAUUGAGAAAUGCGACUGUUUGUAGAGGUGCAAAGGCCAAUGCAACCGGCAUACAGAUUACAAUAGGAGGAUUAUCCUUUUAAUUAACCUAUUAAUUUAAUCCUAAGAAUUAACAAACCAGCAUGUGCCUACACAGCUACACUAAUGCUAACACAUUGCUCUAUGUUUCAGAGCAUUUGGACCAUAUAUUAUGCUUGAAUUUGAACUUAGAUUUCAAAAUUGUGGGUUUAAAUGAUGUUUAUAUGUGCAGUAGAAACAUGUUGGUUUGAAUUGCUGUGAUGAGAAAUGGAAUUUGUCAUGGU